CAGAUAAAGCAAAAUAAAAUCUCUCGGAAAAGGCUGCAGCGGGCCUCAACACGGAAAACUAUACGAGCAGCCGGGUCUUGGAAAUCAUCGUGGGGAGAGCGAAACCGCUACGGUUGCAGCUAAAGUCCCGCAGCCGUCAGCAUUUUCUGUUGCGAGUUCCUCUCUUCUCCUCUUCUACUCCUGGCUGAAAACUUUUGCUGACUCAACUCCGCUCUGGAUCCGGGACCGCUGGAUAUUUAUGAAGCGCCUGACGUCACCCCACCUUCUCGACCAAUGGCGGGAAGACGACGUCACGUGCUGACCCCCCUUUCCGAGAGAGUUUCCAGGCCCCCGAAAGAUGAGGUGGGGGUGCACACGCGCUUUUUGAGCGUGACACGUCGUGCGGACCAACGUUUUUUGGACCUUAAAACUUUUGCAAACAUUUUUAUAAUGACUUUACUAAGAAUAAUUAACAUAGCCUGCGAGAUAAUCAAAUUAAACGGCAAAAUUACAGUUAAUGAGCCUGAUGAAAUGGUUCGCAACAAUGUAGAAGAGCAGUUGAUGGAAAUUUACAGGUAAAAAGGAGAGCCGUAGCAGGAAAUGGAAGAUUGCUUCAGUGCGUCCAUCACAACUCUUCCGAUAAGAGAAUGAGAGAUGAUAGUGAUUUGUGAAACCUUCCCAAAGGCAGUCACGUGCAUCCUAUAGUGACAUCUUUUCCUUCUUGCAUUUGUGACAAAUCAGAUUUAGCCAAAAAGGUGAUGAGAGAAGCGGAGCGGAUGACCGCCGACUGGACAGCGGCGACUGCAAGGCGACACCUUUGGAGAGACAAGAGAAUAAAUAUUUUAUUCUCCGAUGGACUCAGUGUUUUAUUCUUUUUGUAAAAUGAGAGUCGCUUUACACUUGAUUCAACAGU
Molecule: long non-coding RNA, 892 nt
Organism: Argiope bruennichi
Lineage: Eukaryota; Metazoa; Arthropoda; Arachnida; Araneae; Araneidae
Exons: 4
Source: RefSeq, a predicted model, not a curated record